Molecule: ribosomal RNA, 324 nt
Filed under: uncultured bacterium
Lineage: Bacteria
Description: bacterial SSU rRNA
Rfam family: Bacterial small subunit ribosomal RNA
Source: RNAcentral
GACGAACGCUGGCGGCGUGCUUAACACAUGCAAGUCGAGCGGAAAGGCCCUUUCGGGGGUACUCGAGCGGCGAACGGGUGAGUAACACGUGAGUAAUCUGCCCUUGGCUUUGGGAUAACUACCGGAAACGGUGGCUAAUACCGGAUACGACGUACUCAGGCAUCUGAUGUGCGUGGAAAAGUUUUUUCGGCCAGGGAUGUGCUCGCGGCCUAUCAGCUUGUUGGUGGGGUAAUGGCCUACCAAGGCUUCGACGGGUAGCCGGCCUGAGAGGUGACCGGCCACACUGGGACUGAGACAGGCCCAGACUCCUACGGGAGGCAGCAU